UAUUCUGCCCUACAGGGAAGGAUGAGAAGCUUCGACUAAGGUUCGACUCGAGCGAAGCGAGAGAACGUUGCCGCAGGCAACGGCCCGAAGG
RNAcentral lists this small RNA (91 nucleotides) under Klebsiella pneumoniae. RNAcentral's name for it is "partial RtT sRNA". It matches the Rfam family "RtT RNA", at positions 1 to 90 of the family's 130-position model. Rfam says of the family: This family represents a bacterial cis-regulatory element known as RtT RNA. Lineage: Bacteria; Pseudomonadati; Pseudomonadota; Gammaproteobacteria; Enterobacterales; Enterobacteriaceae. The record is from RNAcentral.